RNAcentral lists this small RNA (295 nucleotides) under uncultured Alistipes sp. Its description in RNAcentral is "5' ureB small RNA". It matches the Rfam family "5' ureB small RNA". The record is from RNAcentral. Lineage: Bacteria; Pseudomonadati; Bacteroidota; Bacteroidia; Bacteroidales; Rikenellaceae.
UAUAGGCCUGCUGCGGGGCGAUCAUGUGCACGUGGCCGUCGAUGCCGGCCGCCGUCAGGAUAAGGUGUUCGCCGGAGAUGGCGUCCGUGGCCGCGCCCGUAAUCAGGUCGGGAUGUACGCCGCGCAUCGUGUUGGGGUUGCCCGCCUUGCCGAUGCCGGCGAUCUUGCCGUCCUUGAUGCCCACGUCGGCCUUCACGACGCCCAGCUUGGCGUCGAUGAUCGUCACGUUGGUGAUGACCAGAUCGAGCGAUCCCUCGGAAGAGGUCAUCGUGUUGGCCAGCCCCAUGCCGUCGCG